AACUUGAGAUUAAUUUCAGCCAAGAUCAAAGUUAAAUCACGGCAAGGUUCCAAAGAAACAUCGAUCAAAUAAUGUCUACACAAUGAAAACAGUGCAUUGUUUGAGCAAAAGAAGGCACUCCGUCAAAAUUUGAACCGAAACACAGGCUAUUUUAAUUCAUGAAUUUUCACAAACACCUGGUAGGCAUCUGGGCUUACGGAUUUUAGAACCAAAUCGCUGCUAAUUGGGGUCGUUCAAACCGCCCGGACUGCUAGAGGAAGAGGGCGUGAUGAAGAACGAAUAUGGAGGAGUGUGAACUCAGAGACUCAGUUUGAGAUAUGGCGUCUAGAGAGAGAGAGAGAGAGAGAGAGAGAGAGAGAGAGAAUGGAGUCGGUCGUCAUCCGGUGAUGGACGAUCGGCGAUGAGACUGCGGCGGUUGGAAGCGGUGAC
This 429-nucleotide long non-coding RNA is filed under the name Eucalyptus grandis. Its description in RNAcentral is "long non-coding RNA (EGRA_LNC000763)". Lineage: Eukaryota; Viridiplantae; Streptophyta; Magnoliopsida; Myrtales; Myrtaceae. The record is from RNAcentral.